This 850-nucleotide long non-coding RNA is filed under the name Zalophus californianus (California sea lion). RNAcentral's name for it is "lncRNA (ENSZCAG00015020007.1)". Lineage: Eukaryota; Metazoa; Chordata; Mammalia; Carnivora; Otariidae. The record is from RNAcentral.
CAAUUUAACAUUUAGUAUCAAUUCUAGCAGGUUAAGAUCCCUUGGAUUAAGGAGGGUGAGUCCUUCCUACUCCCCCCACCAGCCCCUCCACUCCCGCUUUCUUUUCAGUCUGGAUCUUAAAAUUCCCUUUCUUUAGCAUUCUCAGGGGCCAGUAUUUCUUGCCUGGGUUCUGCUUGAAUUAAUCCCAUGUGUCCAGCCACGGAGGAGCGGGGGCCUUCUCUAGCUUCAAGCUCCCUCUGGCUUGAAGCUCCAGUCCAGUUUUUCAGGCAGCUGAAUAUUCCAGCGGGAUUUGUCAAACUUCUGUCUCAUCUGUGCCUAGUUAUUACGGAGGGGCCAGACUGCAAGAGUCUCUGCAGAUUCUGGACGAGGUGGCACAGCUUUGGAUGAGACUAGGGAGACAGGCGUUGUCUGGUUUUGUUAAAUUCCAGAAGCAAGUCACUUUGCCAAAAUUGCCAAAAAUAAAAGGACUGUCUAGACACUUACAUAUUAGGAGCUCUCCUCUGAAGAGAGACCAUCCUGAAGAUCAUUGAUUCAUGCCUCGAUGAACUGGCCUCCUGGAGAGAAGCAUAUUUUGAGGAGCAAGAGCGGAAGUGGAGGCCACGCCGAUGAGGGGUCCAGGGGAGUGGGGCGAUGGUGGCUCGCACCUCUUGGGGGCGCUGCAGACGGAGCGAGGAGGACUGUUUUCCAGAAUGUUAAUCUCCUUGGCAGGCGGACGAAAGGAACGAAAAGGAGAGCUGAUACGUAUUAAGUGCCAACUGCAUACCUCAGUCUCAGGUGAUACAUUCACACAGGAAAUUUUCCCAUUCUUGUCCUCAUCUGCAGAGACACCCACUCCCCAUGCUAUAGGUAA